AGAAAAGCAGGAAGGGUGGGUCUGCGGGUCCACACAGAGGGUGUCCAGCUUGCACCACAUCUGUUAUGGGCUGAAUCGUGUCCCCCAAAAUCCGUAGGCUGAAGCCUCAAACCUCAGCACCUCUGAAUGUGACUGAAUUUGGAGAUAGGGUCUUUCCAGAAGUAAUUAAGAUAAAAGAAGGUCAUGGGGUGGGCCCUAAUCCAAUCCGGCUGGUGUCCUUACAAGAAGAGAUUAGGACACACACACACAGGGAAGACCGUUUGAAGACCUGGCGAGGAAAAGAGGCCACCUGCAAGCCAAGGAGAGGGGCCUCAGGAGAAACUAACUUUGCCGGCACCUUGAUCUCAGACUCGUAGCCUCCAGAAGUGUGAAGAACUAAAUGUGUAUUGUUUAAGCCGCCCAGUCUGCAGACUUUGUGAUGGCAGCCCUGGUGGAUGAAUUCACUGCUUAAGUUUGCAGGCACCCCCUACGCUUUCUUCCCUCACCUUGCUUCAUUCUUCUGCUGCAUGUAUUACUGCUGGCUGUGCCCAGCGCUUCAUUCCUGUCUUUCGUCUGUCUCCCGAGGCUGUUCCCUUCCAGUCAGCCUCCUGCGGGUGGGCUGUCUCAUCCUUCCUGCCGCAGGCCCGGUGACUAGAACAGCACCUCACAUACAAAAGGUGCUUGGCCAUGGCGGGCAUUUGUUGAAUGAAAGAAAGUUUUCCAAAUCUCUUCUUUCUAAUGUUCUUCUCUGGUUUCUUCUCCUCUGCUCACCUCUUAACUCCAAGGCCUCAUCUCAGCUACAUUUGGGGAUAUUUUCCACUCCCUGCUUGGACCCAGAGUCCGGCUGAGGUCAUGUGGCGAGGUCAGAUAUUCUGAAAGUGAAUGCGUCCCCACUUUUGAGUGCCCCUUCUGGGUAGGCCAUUCCAGGAGGGCCUUAUAGGAAGUGCAAGGGAGACGGGCUUGAGCUGAGUUGGACGCACAGUGAGGGAUAUGUGUGUGAGAGACAGAGAGAGAGAGGGAGAGGGGAGACAGACACACAGAGAGACAGAGACAGAGAGACAGAGACAUAGGGGAACACAGGCAGAGAGAGACAGAGCUACAGAGAGAGACAGAGACAGAGAGACAGAGACAUAGGGGAACACAGGCAGAGAGAGAUAGAGCUACAGAGAGAGACAGAGGCACACAGAGAGAGACAGAGGCACACAAAGAGAGACAGAGACCAACAGAGCAUUGACAGAGGUCCACAGAGACAGAGCUACAGACAGACAGAGCGUGCACGGCGCACAUGUAUAUAAAGCCUGUGGGGCGCCUUUUCUUUUCACAUAGUGUGAUCCAGUCCUAUCAAUUACUAGGAUAUUGGCAUUUGUGAUCAUUGCGUCGUCUGGAAUUUUUUUCUGGAAAAAAGAGGAAACACAGCCAUCUGCCCAGAGCCAUCCAGAAUGUGUCCCAGAGGCCUGUCGGUGUGUACGCGCACUCAGAAGCCUGGGGGCCCUUUCCUUGUCUAAAUGUAGCUCCCCCACCGCGUCCCACCCCUGCACAGGAGCGAGGCCUGUGUCAACUUCAGCAGAGCGAGAAUGAGGACAGGCCCAGGGGCAGGGAACUGGACGAAGGGAGUUGGAGGCCUUUUCUUGGGAAUGGGUGGACCAUUGCCCUGCAUGGGGACAGGGACGGCACUGGUGGGGGAAGGAAAUCUUGAGCUGGUUUCGGCCUUGACCCUCAGCAGCUAGCCCCGGGAGCUGUCAUUCUCUGGACGCCAGGGCCUUGGGUUCCUUGGACGAGGUGCAUCCCAGCACAGAAGGGCAGCACAGAGGCAGCCUGAGAAGAUUCUGUCGCUGCCAGGUCACCAGGACCUCUGGACCACAGCUGGGUUGCGCUGUUUUCCAGUUUGUGAAACUAGGACUUUGGGGAACAUCCUGUGAAUUGGUGUAAUUUUGAUUUUCCUGGAGGAUUUUUGAGGUCAGCGUGACUGCUGUCACUGUAAGUGUGGGUGUGCUUUCCCACAAGAAGCAUCCUGAGUCUGCGGGAAGGUGGGGACUUCCCAGUUUGGGGGCCUGAGGGUCCCUUCCAGGGAGCUGCAGUGACCGAGCCACCUGGGUCUCAUCCUCAUUAAGGAAAGCAUGCUGCAGGUGAUGGUGGACAAGCUGCACUUUGUUGCCGCCUUCCCCUCAAGGGACUCAGGGCUCUUCAAAGGCAGCUCGCUUUGAUUGCCCCACCCCCUCGUUAGGGGACUGUCCCUAGCUUUUCAUUCCGUGGUUUUGCUUCCCAGGCAGUGACUGUUCUGAGGAACCUAUUCGUCCACAGCCCCACUUUCGCCUCUAAAAGGAGCUGGAAUGGCUCCUUACUGCCCUCCUGCCAGGCCCUCGACUGAAUCCAAUAUAGAGACCUUUAUAGGCACUAAUUAUAACUAAGGACUGCAUGCUGUGUUUUAUGGGCAAGUCUUCCCUGCUCUGUUUAACGUCCUAGCAGAAACCUCAUAACAAAUUAACAUUUAUAUGGGCCCGUUAAUCUUCAAAGCGUUUCACUGACUUGAGUCAAUUCCAGUGACCCUCGUGGGCAGUAAUAAGCCUUUUAGGACUCCUAUCCUUUUCCCUUCUCCUUCUACUUCUUUGUAGAUAAAGAAAAAGCAAACCCAGAGAAACGUGUCAUGCUCUGUGUGAGCUCCUGCAUCAGAGCUGCGGGUGGCUUUGGCUGGGCGGUGUUCCAGGCGUCUGGUUUCAUGCUCUGACCAACACACGCCUCCCCUCAAAGCUGCCGUGGAAGGGCUCAAAGCCGCGUUUCAUUCCCAAAGCCUUUGACUAACUCUGAACAAGCUGCUUUUCAUUAGGCACGCACACAAGCCUGCACACGCACGUGCAUACAUGCAUGCACACACCUCUCUCAAACUGGAUAAGAGGUUUCUGUGUGAGGGGUGGGGAAUAGAGGGAGCUGGAAUUCUCUGCAGAGCCCCUGUCAGCUGAGCAGGGUGUGUACUGGCCGCUGGGUUCAGUGUGUGUUGACCAGGGGCCCGCCCCCUUCCCGCUUCAGUCCAGCUCAGGUGUCAGUUGACGGCUUGUGUGUGCGGAGCCAGGCUGAGUUAUAGAGCCUUAUACUUUAUUUCCAAACCUGCAAUUCCACCCGCGUUUUUGUCAGUUAAUUACAUACAGAGCCCCUUUAUUUGCAGGGAAAUAUGUGAGCGGAGUUCUUUGUGGGUGUGGACGAGGCAGCUCUCACUCCUGCGAGGACGCGUCCAGCUCCUUGAGGAGUACGGUGGCAGGGAAGGGGACAGCACUGUCAUGGAGUCAGAUCUGAAUCACGUCCACGGAGCGGUUUACUUUGGGAACUACCUCCUAUACAUUUCAAAUUCCACGUUGGUCCCCAUUUGCUACUCUUUCAGAACUAAAAUAAAAUCCGAAGUCCCCCAAGUGACUGAACAGACCCCCUCUUGGCCAAGGGGACCCCAGAGAAACCUGAAAGCUGAGCUCCCAGCCAUGAGGGGACGGGUGAUCGGACACGCUUCAUCACAGUCCCUCCCCUUUGUGGUUUAGACGACGAUGAUCGGCUGUCAUGCUAAAAUAGAGACACGAGACCGACAGCACAGACUCCUUAUGGCAAUAAGACACCAAAUUAUAAGCAGCACCUCAGGCCAUGCCAGGCAAGGGUCGAGCCGCGCACUCUACACUUGGAGAACGGACUCUGCUCUCACACCACAGCGUCGUCUUUUUCUCCAGCAGCUAAACACGCACCGGCCCCGAGAUUCAAACGACUGCAGCUCAUCCACCUGCAGACGCUGGCUGACCCCGUUCCACAGCUGUGACUAUAGCUUUGAUUGGACAAGAGGCUGAUUUCAGUCUCCUGGUAAGAGACCACCAACCAUAGACCUGGUUCCGGCUGAUUAUAGAAGCUGCACACUUGUAUGCCUUCGAGUCCCUGCCUCACCUUUUGACGUGUAGGGACUCAUUGUAAUGCUUUUAAAUGUGAAGCCUCCACCCCAGAGUGAACAUGGGACGCAUGUAACGUGCAUGUUCAGUGGGCACGGCUCAGGACUCUCUUUGUGAAUAUUCAUAGCUCCUCCUGGAACCUGAAUAUGUAUGUUUGGCCAGCUCAGUUCAGCAUGAGGCUCCUGCCGCAACGCCCCCUCCUUCCAGGAGCCUGCCAGCUGUUUCUGCCAGAGGCUGCGUCUCCCAGCCUGUCAGAAUGGCCACCCUGCAGGCUGUAAUCCUUUAGAAGAAAUAAAGAUCCCCUUUCCAGAUGUAUAGAUAUUGUGAUUUUUUUCCAUUCACAUCCUUGCAUCUUAUAAUGCCCUGUCUCCAUGGGGGUUACAUAGAAAGCCCUCAGCCUCUAGGGCAGAUGGAGCCAGGACUGAGGGUGGGGGUGGAGAAGGAUCAGGAGACUCACUUCAAGGACUUUCUGGUGCCGGCAGUGUAGGCUUGCCAGAUGAAAUACAGGACACCCAGCAACAUGAACUUUCAUAAUUUUUAUAGUGUAAGUGUGUUCCAAAUAUUGCAUGGGACAUGCUUAUCCUGAAGAAUUAUUCAUUGUUUAUCUGCAACCCAAAUUUAACUAGGUGUCCUGUAUUUUUAUUUGCUAAAUCUGGUGACCCUUCACUGGGGAGACGCUUUUAAACAGCCUCAACUUAGAAAUUCUUCUCUUCCUGCCAAAAGCGCUAGGGUCUAUAUAUGGGUGCAUGGAAACACGAAAUUAUUGUCACAGGACUGAAGAGUAUGAAAGACUUCUAGUAACCACCAGCUGUGGCAGGGGCCUGUGCAGGGGGUACCCUGGCAGGGAGGAAGCUGCCUUAAUUUUCAACCUCGGACAGAAAAGCGCAUCUGUCAGACACAGCAGAAAGCAGACCUACAUGUAUGGUUAAUGAGGACUGUGUAUUUGACUGCUGUGGGUUCAAUUGUGUCCCUGCGAGAGAUACAUUGAAGUCCUAACCCCUGCUGCUUCGGCAUUUGGCUUUAUUUGGAAAUAGGGUCACUGCCAGUGCAGUUAGCUGAGAUGAAAUCAUACUGGUGUCUGGUGGGCCCUUAUUCCAAUAUGACUCGUGAUAUCACAAGAAGAGGAGGACAGACACAGAGACACACUCCAGAGGGAGAAGGCCACGUGACAGCCACGGACUGCUGGAAGCAGCGGAAUCUAAAGGCAAGGCAGGGAACAGAUUCUCCCUCCCAGUCCUUCGAGAGAACCAACUCUGCCGACAGCUUGAUUUCAGAAUUCUGGUUUCCAGAACG
Molecule: long non-coding RNA, 5189 nt
Organism: Pan troglodytes (chimpanzee)
Lineage: Eukaryota; Metazoa; Chordata; Mammalia; Primates; Hominidae
Exons: 2
Source: RefSeq, a predicted model, not a curated record